Molecule: RNA transcript, 4867 nt
Organism: Amborella trichopoda
Lineage: Eukaryota; Viridiplantae; Streptophyta; Magnoliopsida; Amborellales; Amborellaceae
Gene name: P-loop containing nucleoside triphosphate hydrolases superfamily protein
Source: RefSeq, a predicted model, not a curated record
AUUAUAUUUUUUUGGGAAGUUCUUUAUUAGCUAUCUAGAAAACUAGAAAUAUAGAGAGCCUUUUCCUUCGGUGAAGGUAGAGGCUUGCUGGGUAGAGCUGUGAAUGAGUUCAGCCUUUUUUUUUGUUUUUUUCCUGCCUGGAGCCACAACGAUGGCUACAUGGUGCAUCCAGCCUCCCAACAAACCCUAAUAUUUACCCCUGAUAACCCCCGCUCUCUUUUGUCUACCCGUUUAUCUUUUUCAGAACUUUUUGAUGGAAUCCUCGCCUGAAAAAUCACCAGAAAAUUUAAGCUCUGGUGUGCCUGGAAGCAGGGGCGGGGAUCUAGGGUUUCAGACUUGUGCCAGGCCCGUUCGCGAGGGUGUACGGUUGUCGCAGCAACGCAAAUUGAACGGUUUCCUGCUUUGCAACGACAAUGCUGAGGCUGAGUAUGAGAAGAAGGUAUCAAACACGUGGAAACGUGAUCCUACUUCUACCAAAAAGACAUUGGAUGAAGGGGUGAUAGACUUGAAUGCAGAGCCGGGCAAUUUCUCAAUAAACAUAGGCAAGGAAACAUUAAAUGAUUGUUGUAUAGCAGAUAGUUCCACUGAUAAGGAAAUGUUGGUCUCGUUUAAUGAAUCUAAUAAAUCAGGUUCUGAUUUUUUUACGAAAGUUUCAAAGAAAAGAAAGCAAAGGAAUCAGCAAAACAAAUUUCCAAAUGACUAUAAUGGGACACCCAUAGGGAAGAAAAAGUGUCGGCGACUGAAGGAACAAAAAAUUGAACCUGAUUCAACUUCCAAUGGUGCCAAGAGAAAUUCCUCUAAGAGGAAAUUGACACGGGAUAAGUUUGAGAAUGCAAUUGACUUAGGAACUCAAAGCCAAAGUAAUGCGCCAACUUUAGUUUGUGACCUGUGGAUGGAGGCAAAGAUGGCAGCAGAAGAAAAUGCUCGACUGUUUGCUGGAAGGAAAACACAUCCAUUCUUCACUUGCCAGAAGCCGAUUAAAAGAUCCCUGAUAUACAAGGAGGCAGUUGAAGUGGGAACUAAAGACAUAACUCUCCCACAAGAUGAAGAGAUCAUGCCUUAUCCUCCUGUACACAUAAAUGGGACAAAACAGGAUGAAUAUUUUCUUUUAGAUUGGAAAAAGUGGAACUUUUUGGAGCAGCCGUUUUUGAACUCCAUUGGCCGCCAUCAUAUUGCUUUGGAAAAUUCUUGUUCAUCGGUAUUUGAAGGUUCUGUGGAGCCCUUGAACUUUGAUAAGAUUCCUUCCUCUUCCAAUUUUCAGAGAAUUUUGUUUCCUCAGAAAGAGGUACCCUUUUAUCAGUUGCAUGAUGCAGAAGGAGAUCACUUGGUAUUGUCAACAGAAGACCCUUCUGUAUCUAAAGAAGCAAAGGUGACAUAUGAUCAAGUAGUAGAUCAUUCGAUAUCAAUGGAAGGGAAUGAAAAUCUUGAUCAGCUCUUAGGAUAUUUGCAUGCGGUAUCUGGAUGUGUUGAUUCUAGAUGGAGCACAGGGAAUGAGCCAUGUGAAGAAUUUCUUCAUGAAAGGAUGGCAUCAUAUUAUCUUCGUUGCAAGAAUGGGAGGUCAAGUUGUAGCUUGUGGACAGAUAAAUAUCAACCAGAAUCUGCUUCGGAGGUCUGUGGUAAUAGUGAAUCAGUUAGAUUUCUGAAUCAGUGGUUGAACUGUUGGCGUGGUUGGGAUCGAGAAACCUAUAAAGGUCCUACAAAGGAUUAUAGAUGUCACAUUUAUGAUGACGACUAUAGCUGUUUCGAAGAAGAUUUUGAUGUAGGUAGCUUGGAUAAAGAAACCAUUUUAAAAAAUGUUAUGCUGCUUACGGGACCAGUUGGGAGUGGGAAGUCUGCUGCUAUCUAUGCUUGUGCUAAAGAACAAGGAUUUGAAGUAAUUGAGGUGAGUGCAUCUGAUUGGCGCAAUGGAUCAUUGGUGAAGCAAAAAUUUGGUGAGGCUGUGGAAUCUCAUAGAUUGCAUAAAAGGUCAGUUGAGGAUCUUAGAUAUUCACCAAACAAGCUUAGGACAAGUUCCUCCCAGGACAUAUUAAGAAACGAUGGGAAUGGUGCACCAAAGGUUGAAGCAAAGGUGCAUGAGUUCAAAACCGGUAUGGAUGCAACCAGGAAUGAAAUGGAAGGGCCAGAAGAAAAUAGAGAGAUUAGAAGCUCUAGUGGUCAAACCGGUAAGAAAUCUUUGAUUCUCUUCGAGGAUGUCGAUACAAUUUUCAAUGAAGACCGUGGGUUUCUAGCUGCUAUAUUGCAACUUGCUGAGACAGCGAAGCGGCCGAUAAUACUCACUAGUAACAGGAAGGAUCCUCAUCUACCGCUCCUCUUGAAUAAAUUGACAAUUAAUUUCAUGCUCCCAUCCCUGGUGGAGCUGCUUUGCCAUGUGUAUAUGAUCUGUGUUGCAGAAGGUGCAAAAGUCUUACCUCACUUGAUAAAUCAUUCAAUCAGAUGCUGUCAUGGUGAUAUCAGGGGAACAAUCAUGCUCCUGCAGUUUUGGUGCCAGGGGAAGAAAUCCUUUCAAUAUGAAAGGAUGUUGACAUCUACGUAUAGGCCGCUACCUUUUGAUCUUGAUGCUGGGUAUCAUAUACUGCCGAAAGUGAUACCUUGGGGUUUUCCUUGUCCAUUGUCUACAAUGGUUCAUGAGGAAAUUUCCCAUACACUGUCUCUGGUCAAAGAAAAUGUAUGGAAUAUAGAAGAGGUCUUGGCAAUUAAGGUUACCCUCAAAGGGAAACUUAAUGCUUCAGUGAAUUUCAGUGAUGAGAAAGAGGUUAUAGAUGCCAAAAAGGAGGUGCUGUUGAACAGGAAUUUCUCUGACAAUGAAGGUAAUGAGCUGUUUUCAACUCAGUCUGAUGAUUUUGAUGGAUUGUCUAAAGCUGUAGGCACCCCUACCAAGUCUAUUCAACUGCCUCGUGAUUGUAGACGUCGAGCUAUGGUGACUUCUGACUCCGAAGAUGGUUCGCUUUCUGAUCAACCUCCUCUGGAAACACCAAAGAGGGAUACAUGCAAUGAAUGGGUUCAAGAUCCAUUCAAUGGGUCAUUUUCUAGAAGGUCAGCUUUAGGUAUUGGCACUCUGUCAUCUCCUGAUUCAAAGCAGAACCAGAAAACAGAUAAAUUUGAUCCAAGGAGGUUGAAAAGGUUAAAGAGAGUAAGGGAUUUAGAUAUGUGCACCCUCACUGCAUCAAAAGAGAUAUCUUGUUUCCCAGAAUCGUCAUUCAUUCUUGGGGCAAGAAUUGACAAUGUGGAUGAUUCACUUUGUUCUCCAAGUGUAGCUGUUACCUUGGAAGGAAUUUCCCAUUGCCUAGAGGAGCUUGAAAACCUUCAAGAGACAAAUAAUCCAGAUAAUUACGAAAUAGAACUGGAUAGGGUUUCUGAAACUGUGUUCGGAGAUACUUGUGAGGCAGCCAUUAAUUCAGUCACUAGCAAUGCGGUGCUAGACAAAUCCAAAAUGGAACCAAUAGAAACCAUAAAUGGAGCAUAUCCAUUGAUGGAUGAAUGCAGCCGUGUAGAUUUUAACAUAUGUAAUAUGGCCAGAGAUUCUAGCCAUCCAGAUGCUACACUUUCAGUCCUGGAGACAUGGAAGAAAUUACGAAGCCACAAGGAGGAUCUUAAAUCGCAUCUAUCCUCAGAAGUACAAGCCCUUUCAAGAGUAAUAGAUUCCACCCUUGAACUUAUUGACCUCUUUUCUGCAACCGAUGUCCUGCUGACUACGUGCCAAUUGGUCUGCAGUGAUUUUUUGACACCAUGUGAGGAACUGGAUAUUAUGUCUUGGUAUGAUCAGAGGUUGGAGAUGGCAUCUACACUUUCUCACCAUGGCAUCUGCUUUUAUGCAAAGGAGUCUGCUGUGAUGGGUUCUGAACUGGGUUAUGAAACGAAAACAGAUUUGGCUUCUGAAAUGUUGGCUGCCAGCUCUGACACGGCAGCUUUUGGGAAGCUGAUAACUCGGCAGACAAUCAAUACGUCUGCUGAAAGAGAUCCAUCCAUCCAGGCAUCAAAAAUGGACAUUUUAAGUGAAAGAGAGAGUCUACAAUCUAGGCUUUCAGAUUGCUUGCUGUCUUUAGUUCCUGCAAGAACUAUUUUGUCAGUGAAAGGUGCACAAUUUCACGAGUACUCAUCCUUUUUGGGCCAAAUUGCCAACUCUGAGGUUGCCCGUCUGUCUCAGGGGAAUUUCAAAAGACGCAGUGCUCGCCGUUCUCGCAACUACUUGACAACCAGACCAUACAAGUUGUCGUCAGAAGAUGUGCACUUGCUAGCCCAGUAUGGCGGCUUUGGGAAAGUCAAAGGGCUUUCCAUAGAGCGAGGUGUUACGACAUGAGGAUCUUUAAGUUCCUCUCCAUGCAAAGCGUUCAUAAUUGUCCUGUCUGAUGCUGAGAUCUUUCUGACGAAAUUUGUCUAGCGAAGGCAAAAAAACAUGGUUGCCUUAAGGAGCUCCUUGCCAUCUAUCUAUUCUUCCCCCUGAAGCUUAUUGGAAGUUUUAGUCCUCAGCUUCAUCAUCAACCAUUGAAGGACACGCAAAGUUAUUUAGAAGCGCCGGGGCCUAAGGCAGCGGGGUUUGCAUCGGUUGUCACUGCACUGUUCUGACCAUGCUUGGAUGACAAUGACUUUAUAGGUGGAGUUUGCAUUUGUAACAAUUGUGGAUAAUUGUUCUCUGGAGGAUGUCUUUUUGCUUAGACAAAGGGGUUGGUGGGCCUGAGUGACCUUGGGCUUUUGUAUUUUUUUUGGGUGAGUCAGUGGGUAGAGGCCCCUACCCUAGUAAAGAGGAAAGCGAUGAGCGCCCAACAGUAAUGAGAGGCAAAAAUGAACGGCUCCUUUGACAUUUUGUGUUGGAAAGAGAUUAUUGGUUUGCAAUCGUUAAUGCCAACAGGAUAUACACAUUUUACUGUCA